UGGGGAAUAUUGCACAAUGGGCGAAAGCCUGAUGCAGCAACGCCGCGUGAGUGAUGAAGGCCUUCGGGUUGUAAAGCUCUGUCUUCUGGGACGAUAAUGACGGUACCAGAGGAGGAAGCCACGGCUAACUACGUGCCAGCAGCCGCGGUAAUACGUAGGUGGCAAGCGUUGUCCGGAUUUACUGGGCGUAAAGGAUGCGUAGGCGGAUACUUAAGUCAGAUGUGAAAAUCCCGGGCUUAACUUGGGAACUGCAUUUGAAACUGGGUAUCUAGAGUGCGGGAGAGGAGAGUGGAAUUCCGAGUGUAGCGGUGAAAUGCGUAGAGAUUAGGAAGAACACCAGUGGCGAAGGCGACUUUCUGGACCGUAACUGACGCUGAGGCAUGAAAGCGUGGGGAGCAAACA
This 402-nucleotide ribosomal RNA is filed under the name uncultured bacterium. RNAcentral describes it as "bacterial SSU rRNA". It matches the Rfam family "Bacterial small subunit ribosomal RNA", at positions 355 to 774 of the family's 1533-position model. The record is from RNAcentral.